This 74-nucleotide transfer RNA is filed under the name Borrelia coriaceae. RNAcentral describes it as "tRNA-His". It matches the Rfam family "tRNA". Rfam says of the family: Transfer RNA (tRNA) molecules are approximately 80 nucleotides in length. The record is from RNAcentral. Lineage: Bacteria; Pseudomonadati; Spirochaetota; Spirochaetia; Spirochaetales; Borreliaceae. RNAcentral also lists the same sequence under 1 other name.
GUGGUUGUAGCUCAGUUGGUUAGAGCACCGGAUUGUGGUUCCGGGUAGCGCGGGUUCAAGUCCCGUCAACCACC